AUCAAAAUAAAAUUGUAGUAUUUAAACCAAUAAUAAAAAAAUCAUCUUUCUAACCUUGAUUCGUUCUUCGCUAUCCAGUUUCUAAGAGUCGAAUAUUUUUGUAUAGAAUAGUCUUCCAAAGGACAUCUAGAAGACGACGAAGGUUGUAUUUGUUUUCCCUUCUUUUUCUUCUCUCGUUGUGAUGUUUCAGAACUUUCGACUUGUUGAGACGUUGAUGCAUCCUUCGGUCGAUCAUCAGGAAUUGGACAUAUACCAAUAGGAAUGUCUUCUUGCGUACAACUAAUAAUGGCUUCCAUGUCUGAUUUUCGUUCAAAUAAUUUUUGCAGCGUAUUCUUAUUUUGUUCAUCGACAUAAUAUCGAAUGGAAUCUAAACUGGCAUCUACAUAAGAGUGCAUGGUCUGGUAAUGGUCUUCUUGCCAUUUUUGUUGUCGUUGGAAUAAUUGUUCAUCUUUCUACAAAUGUGUGUUAAAAAAACUUGAUAAUGAGUUAUCCAUGUAGGAAUGCAUAGUAGAUUGCAUAUAAUCCUCUUGCCAUUUUUGGUGUUAUUCGAACAACUGUCUUUGAUUGUCAUAAACUUCUGUUCUCAAGUUGCCACAUAUAUCAAACACCUCUUUUAUUAUGUCUUGCUUCUGGACACCAAGUAGUUCUAUCAUCCGUCUUCAGUUACAUAAUUAGAGGUGCUAGAUCCAAAAUUAGGCACUGCUACUGGUGAAGUUCUUGACGUACUAGGAAUGGUCGUCUCUGGCACAUAUAUAUUAUCCCUUUCUUGCUCAAAAGUAUCAUUUGGGAUUUGUUGUGCCACAUUGUCUAAUUCUUCGCCGACGAUUCCAUCUAAUACAUGAUGUUCAUUAUCAGCUAGCAGUGAAAGAUUUAUAUACCAAGAUAUCUCCAAUUCUUCCUCCGUAGGAUGUAACAUUGAAAUAACCUGAAUUUGUAAUUUUAAUAAAAUACCAAAAUAAAUUUUUCAUUUUGUUUUUAAAUAAUUAAACAUAAAUGUAGUUAUAUAUUCAUUAAAAGAAAUCGUAUCUCUCGAGUAGCUAGAAAAUGCUUAAUCAUUUUUUUUCAAUCAGUAGUUUAUUAGACCUCCACUUAUACAUUCGUGGACUCUGUGCUGUUUUGUAUCGACGCCGUCCAAAUUUUUUUCCAAUUUCUAGAAAUGCCUCAUAAAUCCAAUACUGUAUCACAAUUACAAAUUACGAUUAUUUUUCUCUUACAAAUAAAUGAACUCAACAAAAGAAAAAAAUAUUAAUAAAAUUUCUGAAAUGCAAGUGGAUACCCUCUAAUGCAUACUUACAAUCUAUUUGUUCAUUCCGUUGCACUCGUUUUACUCUUUGCAAUUGUGAUUCUUGUAGUGAAUUUAACAAAAGAAAAAAUCAUUUUCGACCCCAAGGAUAUCCAAGAAAUUGAUCAGGGUGCUUGACCAUACCAAGAGUUUUGUAAUCAAUAAUUCUUCCAACUGGUUUUAUAUCACAUUCCACCAACAUAACUAAUCCCAACUUAAAUUUAUCUACUAAGUCCUCACAUUCAUGGAAAACUUCAAAUAGCAUUUUCAUGUUAAUUUUUUGACUACCAUUGAAAUAAUGAUUUUUAAGACGAUUGUUGC
Molecule: long non-coding RNA, 1603 nt
Filed under: Olea europaea subsp. europaea
Lineage: Eukaryota; Viridiplantae; Streptophyta; Magnoliopsida; Lamiales; Oleaceae
Source: RNAcentral